GCCCGCUUGGCGCAGUGGUAGUCGCGUCUCACUUGUAACUCUACAAGGAAAUGAGAAGGUCGCUCGUUCAAUCCGGGCAGUGGGCA
Molecule: non-coding RNA, 86 nt
Organism: Coniochaeta sp. 2T2.1
Lineage: Eukaryota; Fungi; Ascomycota; Sordariomycetes; Coniochaetales; Coniochaetaceae
Source: the annotation of a GenBank genome assembly